CUGCAGCUAAUUAAGCCAACUGGUUUCCUUUACUUGUGGUGGCCCAGUGUGCAAUGGCUGCAAACAGCAAUCUCCUUGGUAGUGUAUGCAGCCUGUUGCUUAUAUGGGUUGCCCUAAGGCACCUUGGAGACAGCA
Small nucleolar RNA from Spermophilus dauricus (Daurian ground squirrel), 135 nucleotides. Its record names the gene SNORA70. It matches the Rfam family "Small nucleolar RNA SNORA70". Rfam says of the family: snoRNA U70 seems to be exclusive to mammals and is a member of the H/ACA class of snoRNA which contain H (ANANNA) and ACA box motifs. NCBI's taxonomy places the organism in Eukaryota, Metazoa, Chordata, Mammalia, Rodentia, Sciuridae. The record is from Ensembl.